Molecule: transfer RNA, 83 nt
Filed under: Halomicrobium zhouii
Lineage: Archaea; Methanobacteriati; Methanobacteriota; Halobacteria; Halobacteriales; Haloarculaceae
Also listed under: 2 other names
Rfam family: tRNA
About the family: Transfer RNA (tRNA) molecules are approximately 80 nucleotides in length. Their secondary structure includes four short double-helical elements and three loops (D, anti-codon, and T loops). Further hydrogen bonds mediate the characteristic L-shaped molecular structure. tRNAs have two regions of fundamental functional importance: the anti-codon, which is responsible for specific mRNA codon recognition, and the 3' end, to which the tRNAs corresponding amino acid is attached (by aminoacyl-tRNA synthetases). tRNAs cope with the degeneracy of the genetic code in two manners: having more than one tRNA (with a specific anti-codon) for a particular amino acid; and 'wobble' base-pairing, i.e. permitting non-standard base-pairing at the 3rd anti-codon position.
Source: Rfam by way of RNAcentral
GGUGGGGUGGCAGAGCGGCCCAUUGCGCCUGCCUUGAAAGCAGGUGGCGUUAUGCCUCCUGGGUUCAAAUCCCAGCCCCACCG